RNAcentral lists this long non-coding RNA (393 nucleotides) under Oncorhynchus kisutch (coho salmon). RNAcentral describes it as "lncRNA (ENSOKIG00005006777.1)". Lineage: Eukaryota; Metazoa; Chordata; Actinopteri; Salmoniformes; Salmonidae. The record is from RNAcentral.
GAGAGCUGAUCACCGCUGCUUGUGAGCUGGGGGUGGCUCACCCCCCGGGCUACCCACUACCCAGUCUUCACCCUGCUGGCCCACCUGGCUCUGUCCCUGCUGCCCUGCCUCUCCAUGUCUCUGGCCCACAGUGUCAACCUACUGAGCAGCCUGCCGGGGCCAGCCGGGCCCUCUGCUUCACUGUCUGCAGGUAGGACUACAACUUAACGCCAAGGUCAGGAGUUCUUCUGAUCAGGCCACCUAGUCAGUGAAAACUCCUGGUCCUUCUCAUCUACUCAUUAUAGUCAACAUGAUUAGUCUGCUGCAUCCAAUAGUGCUGAAACUCUGCAGUUACACGUCUGUUAAUGGACCGCCGCGACAACAGUAGGCUUGAAUGUUACAUUCAAAUCUCCU